ACAACAAGUUAACUGCUGUUCCCAGUUAUAUCUGGUCUUUCCCACCCCCAAACAUACACAAAAGAUUUUUGUCAUUCUUGGCACUGGACAACAGAAGUGAUAAGACAUGCCAGCAGAACUCUAAAGGCAGAAUGUCCUUCCACCUGUUUUAUGCUGUAAGACAAACUUCCAAGUGCGAGGCAGUGUGGAGGGCUGUUGCCUUGAAUGGCAGCUGAAUGCACCAGCGGGAUCCUUGGCAGCAAUGCCCAGGCACUGAAGUCGGGCAUUCAGGAGAGCUAAAUGGAGAAAAGAAACUUGAGCAAACUGCUUCCUGGAACACUGAGAACCUGAAUGGGAAAUUAAGAAGAACCAGAUUCUUUCUAUUCUUCCACCAGCCAAGGUGAUGAGCACAAAAGGAUCCAUCUUAUACAGUGCUUGCCAGCUUCCAUAAUACUACUCACCACGAUGUUGAAAUCACCUGUUCCAGAACCAGUCCUGUCCUUUGACAAGAAGGAUUUAAUUAUCAGUAGUGGUGGGGACUGGCUGGAGAGAGGAAAAACACUUCAAGGACUCUGCCACCUUUCGUAGAUGGAGAGUGCAAAGUUUGUACCAUGGAACUCCUUCUCUAACAGUUACUCUGUGGCAGUGCCUAUUUCAAACCUCCCUUAACUUCUGAUUGUAUAGAUGUUUGUUUCAUUUGUUCAUCUGUUUGUUCACUUAGUCAGAGAUGUUUUAAGCCUUAAGAGAAAUAGUGGACUAGAAAAUGCCUUGGAAAAGUACAAAGUUCAAUCCAAGUAAACUGUUUUUAAACUAGGAAUUUAUGAAGCCUAAAAUAUAAAAUGUAUAUACAUGGAUAUGCUCUGAA
This 844-nucleotide long non-coding RNA is filed under the name Homo sapiens (human). Its description in RNAcentral is "non-protein coding lnc-SEPT7-1:15". Lineage: Eukaryota; Metazoa; Chordata; Mammalia; Primates; Hominidae. The record is from RNAcentral.